UUUUUUUUUUUUUUUUUUGAUUUCAUGUUUCUAUAUAUUAUUUUCUCCCCUGAUGGGAUGGAUUAAAUAACACAGCAUCUUGCAGUAGCCACAUUCAGAAUCAGAGGCUAGUGCCAGAGAUCAAAUGGAACCUCUAAAAGAAUAUAUAUAUUAAUGUUUUCUUGGAGUUGAAGAGUUGGGAUUCUCUUUUAUAAUGGAGAGAUGCAAUCAUUUGUUAAAUCAUAUUGUGGUCCAGUGGAACUAAGGUGUUCAUAUAUUAUUUUUCCAUCUGGAAACUGUCAAGGGAAUACAUAAAUUAAUUCUUACAAUAUUUGUACCAAAAAUUCAGUGCAUCCUUAAUUU
RNAcentral lists this unclassified non-coding RNA (342 nucleotides) under Hevea brasiliensis (rubber tree). Lineage: Eukaryota; Viridiplantae; Streptophyta; Magnoliopsida; Malpighiales; Euphorbiaceae. The record is from RNAcentral.